GACAUAGCUCAGGAUGAACGCUAGCUACAGGCUUAACACAUGCAAGUCGAGGGGCAGCAUGAACUUAGCUUGCUAAGUUUGAUGGCGACCGGCGCACGGGUGAGUAACACGUAUCCAACCUGCCGAUGACUCGGGGAUAGCCUUUCGAAAGAAAGAUUAAUACCCGAUGGCAUAGUUCUUCCGCAUGGUAGAACUAUUAAAGAACUUCGGUCAUCGAUGGGGAUGCGUUCCAUUAGG
Molecule: ribosomal RNA, 237 nt
Filed under: uncultured bacterium
Lineage: Bacteria
Description: partial 16S ribosomal RNA
Rfam family: Bacterial small subunit ribosomal RNA
Source: RNAcentral